This 76-nucleotide transfer RNA is filed under the name Candidatus Berkelbacteria bacterium. RNAcentral's name for it is "tRNA-Arg". It matches the Rfam family "tRNA". Rfam says of the family: Transfer RNA (tRNA) molecules are approximately 80 nucleotides in length. Their secondary structure includes four short double-helical elements and three loops (D, anti-codon, and T loops). The record is from RNAcentral. Lineage: Bacteria; Candidatus Berkelbacteria.
GCCCUCGUAGCUCAAUGGAUAGAGCGCCUGGCUUCGGACCAGGAGGUUGCGGGUUCGACUCCUGCCGAGGGUGCCA